This 638-nucleotide ribosomal RNA is filed under the name Anzia hypoleucoides. Its description in RNAcentral is "SSU rRNA". It matches the Rfam family "Bacterial small subunit ribosomal RNA", at positions 349 to 962 of the family's 1533-position model. Lineage: Eukaryota; Fungi; Ascomycota; Lecanoromycetes; Lecanorales; Parmeliaceae. The record is from RNAcentral.
CAGCAGUGAGGAAUAUUGGUCAAUGGCCUAACGGCUGAACCAGCAACUUGGAGGAAUGUAUAGCUAUUAGCUACUUGUAUCAUUACAGAUAUGAUGCAAGAUUGAUCAAGUCGAAUAAAAUUCUAGGUAGAAUUAUGAUGAUGACAUUGUCUGCCUAUGUGUCUUGACCAAACUACGUGCCAGCAGUCGCGGUAAUACGUAAUAGACUAGUGUUAUUCAUGUUUAAUCGGUUUAAAGGGUACCUAGACGGUAGAUCAAGCCUGGAAUAGAAUUCGACAAAGAAAGGGACUAAUUUACUAGAGUUACUUCUGAGGGGGUAUUAAAGUACUAGUGGUGUAGAGAUGAAAUUCUGUCAUACCUAUUUUCAAUAGAAAGGACACGGCACAGGUAUAGGCGAAGGCAUCCCCUUAUGUGAUAACUGACGUUGAGGGACGAAGGCUUUGUGUAGCAAAAAGGAUUAGGUACCCUCGUAGUCAAAGGAGAAAAUGAUGAAUGUCAUAGAUUAGAUAAAUAAGUUUAUUCUAUAAAUGAAAGUGUAAGCAUUCCACCUCAAGAGUAAUUUGGCAACAUUGGAACUGAAAUCAUUAGACCGUUUCUGAUACCAGUAGUGAAGUAUGUUAUUUAAUUCGAUGAUCCGC